UUCUCUGAUGAUAUAAUUUGCGAUUGAAUUCAGCACUGGAGACCCUCGCCGGGGUCUCAUAACAGUGCUGGAGAGAUGAUAUUCAAUUCUUACAUAUGCUGAAC
Molecule: small nucleolar RNA, 104 nt
Filed under: Exophiala dermatitidis NIH/UT8656
Lineage: Eukaryota; Fungi; Ascomycota; Eurotiomycetes; Chaetothyriales; Herpotrichiellaceae
Description: A. fumigatus snoRNA Afu_514
Rfam family: A. fumigatus snoRNA Afu_514
Source: Rfam by way of RNAcentral